Long non-coding RNA from Rosa chinensis, 2401 nucleotides. RefSeq lists it as uncharacterized. The record is from RefSeq and is a predicted model, not a curated record. The transcript has 2 exons. Lineage: Eukaryota; Viridiplantae; Streptophyta; Magnoliopsida; Rosales; Rosaceae.
CAUGUUUUCUAUAAAUAUAGGCUGAUCGAGUUGUUAUGACAAAACCAGCUUGCCUCCAUGAACAUGAAGCUGAUUUUAGUCUCUCUCUCUCUCUCUCUCUCUCUCUCUCUCUCUCUGCCCAGAAGGGAUAUGUUUGAGAUUGAUUGAUCUAAAAAGAAGGUGCAGACAUAUAAAAAGAAGGUGCAGAAGUACCAGAUAGAGAUGACAUGUAGAAUUAUGUAUAUGGGGUGAGUAGAUUCCAUGCUAUGCUUGUCAGGCGAGCAGUCCUCUCUUGGAUUAACCUUGCUUUCGUUGUCUGUUCGACCUUGAACACUAUUUAAUUUUGAUUGCAUAAAAACCCAAGCUAGCUAACUGCAAGAGUGUUCAACUUCCUCAAUUCAUUUACAAUAUGAUAAAGUUACAGAGAAAAUUCACCCAAAAAUUAAUAAAUCAGAUGAUCGCUUUCUUUCUUUUUUCUCGACAAAUUAACUCAAAUUAUUGUAUUCAGGUGGAUUUAUAGUUCGUGCACCUUCACAAUUUUAUGUCAAUUUAGGUCGUAUGCCGGUCAUCCAUGAAAUUCGUGUGAUAUAUACCUAAGGAAUUAGCUAUAAUUCUGUUUGCAUGAAAAUGCAUGUAAACAUAUGUUUAUAUGUAUAUAUGUAUUUUUUGUGUUGUUUGUUAGGUAUAAUCGUACAGUAGAUGUGUAGACAGAUACAACCUUCUAGUCUAGAGCUUUGCAUGCGACUUUCAGGUGCACUGAGAAUUCAUAAGCAAAAAUGGUUUGAAUAGAUGGAUAGAGUAGUACUGAGGGAGUCUGCAUUCAAUUUAACUCUCCAAGGUUGUACUUUUGGCAUUUAAUUGACAGAAUCAUUUUCUAUAUAGAUCAUAGUGCUGCGUAUCUAGGUCAAGAUUGAUACCAAUUUAUACGAUUGUAUUUGCAUUUCAAGAUUUAACGAUUGUAUUUGCAUUUCACUUAACAAUUUUCACUGAGAGGUAUAAGUUAUAACAGGUGUAUAAUACUAAGGUUUUAAAAGUGAAAAUUGUUAAGCAUAAGGCCGAUGUCAGAAUGUUGUAGGUAGGAUCUUGUGGUGAUAUUUACACCUACGGAGCAAUAGAUCAGUUUGUUACUUGAGUUAAGUAGCUUAUUGAGUCCAUAAUUGAAACCAGGUUUAACACCCGUUCCCUGAUUAGUAUGGGUUACGGACUCCAUCAUUAAAAUAUAAAAGAGAAAGGGGAAAAAAAUAUCUAACUUGAUGAUCGAUUGUAAACAGGAUUUCCUGUAAACUACGAUUUACUACGAUUUUUCAAUGUCUAUUAUAUUUUUCAAUGUCUACUACGAUUUUUUUUUAGGGAAACAGGAUCGGGUUCCAUACUACUAAGAUAAAUAGUCAAAUACAUUAAUAAUAUUCACUAUAAAUAAGAAAGGGAAAAUUCUUAUUGUUAUGUGAAUUGUUUAGUUAAUUGGUAAGGCACGUACAAUAGGGUAAAGCUAUAUGUGGUAGGUUAACAUUUCUCAUACAUGCCUUAUUUUAUUUAAUAUUUAUCAUUUUGAGGACUAGUAUUAUCACUUUGAAUACUCAUGUGGUAAUUAGAAAAAAUUUAUCAGUAAGGUAAAUAAAGUCCUCCUUAGCGUAAAGUAGGUAACUAUAAAAAAAUCAUCACUAAGAUAAAUAUGGUCCUCAUUAGAAAAAGAAAGAGAAAUAUCCUAAUGUAAUAUUUCCAAGGUGCAUUUAUAUGUGUUUUUUUUUUUGCGUUCUCAUCUACGUAGGAUGUAAUCUAGCUGGUGUAGAUUUUAGAACGGUUAGUUACGUUGGUCUCACUCCACAUUCAUAUGGGUUAACCUGAGCUAGGUUCCAAUUCCAACUCAUCAAUUAAAAUCAUGGUAUAUAGUUAUAUACCAUGAAAGAGGACACACAUAUAUAUUUAUAUGUAUCUUCCUAUGUAAGGAGGUUUUAGAGAGGAUUUUCUCACAUUUGAAGUGUAAGGACCCUAAUAUUGUAAGCAUAUAUAACCUGAGGUCAGAAUGAAUAUAUGUUAAUCCAUCGAGUUCAAGGUCGAUCUGACAAUGAAUGUAAGGUAUAUGCAAGGGACUGUUCACUUGACAAGGGUUUGCAUGGAAUUUGACACCCCACCUCCAAUUAGUGCUCUACCACUGCCAUCUGUUUUAUAUUCCAGCUACAUACAAUACCCAAUUAUAUGUUGUCUUCAUCAAAAAGUUCCAUAUCAACAAGAAGCUAGUUCCCAGUUUGACAUAGACGACGGAUCUCCUCUCUCUCUCUCUCUCUCUCUCUCUCUCUCUCUCUCUCUCUCUCUCUGUGGAAUUAGGUCAAUAGUGUUGGUAAAUCUUCUUUUUUGUUGUAAAUCUUCAUACUAGUUGUCUCUUGAUAUUGUUAUGAAUCAUAAUUAUCGGUCUUAUGAGUUA